RNAcentral lists this ribosomal RNA (235 nucleotides) under uncultured bacterium. RNAcentral describes it as "partial 16S ribosomal RNA". It matches the Rfam family "Bacterial small subunit ribosomal RNA", at positions 524 to 757 of the family's 1533-position model. The record is from RNAcentral.
UACGUAGGGUGCAAGCGUUAAUCGGAAUUACUGGGCGUAAAGCGUGCGCAGGCGGUUUUGUAAGUUUGUCGUGAAAUCCCCGGGCUCAACCUGGGAAUGGCGAUGAAGACUGCAAGGCUAGAAUCUGGCAGAGGGGGGGUAGAAUUCCACGUGUAGCAGUGAAAUGCGUAGAGAUGUGGAGGAACACCGAUGGCGAAGGCAGCCCCCUGGGUCAAGAUUGACGCUCAUGCACGAA